This 450-nucleotide ribosomal RNA is filed under the name uncultured bacterium. RNAcentral's name for it is "bacterial SSU rRNA". It matches the Rfam family "Bacterial small subunit ribosomal RNA", at positions 354 to 796 of the family's 1533-position model. The record is from RNAcentral.
GUGGGGAAUAUUGGACAAUGGGCGCAAGCCUGAUCCAGCAAUACCGCGUGUGUGAAGAAGGCCUUCGGGUUGUAAAGCACUUUUAUAUGGGAAGAAGUGUUGUGUGUUAAUAGCGCAUAACAUUGACGGUACCAUAGGAAUAAGCACCGGCUAACUCCGUGCCAGCAGCCGCGGUAAUACGGAGGGUGCGAGCGUUAAUCGGAAUUACUGGGCGUAAAGGGUACGUAGGCGGCUUAAUAAGUCAGAUGUGAAAUCCCCGGGCUUAACCUGGGAACUGCAUUUGAAACUGUUGAGCUAGAGUGAGUGAGAGGUAAGUGGAAUUCAAGGCGUAGCGGUGAAAUGCGUAGAGGUCUUGAGGAACAUCAGUGGCGAAGGCGACUUACUGGCACUACACUGACGCUGAGGUACGAAAGCGUGGGGAGCGAACAGGAUUAGAAACCCUAGUAGUCC